GACGAACGCUGGCGGCGUGCUUAACACAUGCAAGUCGAACGGAAAGGCCCUGCUUUUGUGGGGUGCUCGAGUGGCGAACGGGUGAGUAACACGUGAGUAACCUGCCCUUGACUUUGGGAUAACUUCAGGAAACUGGGGCUAAUACCGGAUAGGAGCUCCUGCUGCAUGGUGGGGGUUGGAAAGUUUCGGCGGUUGGGGAUGGACUCGCGGCUUAUCAGCUUGUUGGUGGGGUAGUGGCUUACCAAGGCUUUGACGGGUAGCCGGCCUGAGAGGGUGUCCGGCCACAUUGGGACUGAGAUACGGCCCAGACUCCUACGGGAGGCAGCAGUGGGGAAUAUUGCACAAUGGGCGGAAGCCUGAUGCAGCAACGCCGCGUGCGGGAUGACGGCCUUCGGGUUGUAAACCGCUUUCGCCUGUGACGAAGCGUGAGUGACGGUAAUGGGUAAAGAAGCACCGGCUAACUACGUGCCAGCAGCCGCGGUGAUACGUAGGGUGCGAGCGUUGUCCGGAUUUAUUGGGCGUAAAGGGCUCGUAGGUGGUUGAUCGCGUCGGAAGUGUAAUCUUGGGGCUUAACCCCUGAGCGUGCUUUCAAUACGGGUUGACUUGAGGAAGGUAGGGGAGAAUGGAAUUCCUGGUGGAGCGGUGGAAUGCGCAAAUAUCAGGAGGAACACCAGUGGCGAAGGCGGUUCUCUGGGCCUUUCCUGACGCUGAGGAGCGAAAGCGUGGGGAGCGAACAGGCUUAGAUACCCUGGUAGUCCACGCUGUAAACGGUGGGUACUAGGUGUGGGGUCCAUUCCACGGGUUCCGUGCCGUAGCUAACGCUUUAAGUACCCCGCCUGGGGAGUACGGCCGCAAGGCUAAAACUCAAAGGAAUUGACGGGGCCCCGCACAAGCGGCGGAGCAUGCGGAUUAAUUCGAUGCAACGCGUAGAACCUUACCUGGGUUUGACAUGGAUCGGGAGUGCUCAGAGAUGGGUGUGCCUCUUUUGGGGUCGGUUCACAGGUGGUGCAUGGCUGUCGUCAGCUCGUGUCGUGAGAUGUUGGGUUAAGUCCCGCAACGAGCGCAACCCUUGUUCACUGUUGCCAGCACGUUAUGGUGGGGACUCAGUGGAGACCGCCGGGGUCAACUCGGAGGAAGGUGGGGAUGACGUCAAGUCAUCAUGCCCCUUAUGUCCAGGGCUUCACGCAUGCUACAAUGGCUGGUACAGAGAGUGGCGAGCCUGUGAGGGUGAGCGAAUCUCGGAAAGCCGGUCUCAGUUCGGAUUGGGGUCUGCAACUCGACCUCAUGAAGUCGGAGUCGCUAGUAAUCGCAGAUCAGCAACGCUGCGGUGAAUACGUUCCCGGG
Molecule: ribosomal RNA, 1344 nt
Filed under: uncultured bacterium
Lineage: Bacteria
Description: 16S ribosomal RNA
Rfam family: Bacterial small subunit ribosomal RNA
Source: RNAcentral